UAGCCUUAAAAUGAAAGCCACAUAUGGUAC
This 30-nucleotide non-coding RNA is filed under the name Mus musculus (house mouse). Lineage: Eukaryota; Metazoa; Chordata; Mammalia; Rodentia; Muridae. The record is from RNAcentral.